This 234-nucleotide ribosomal RNA is filed under the name uncultured bacterium. RNAcentral describes it as "partial 16S ribosomal RNA". It matches the Rfam family "Bacterial small subunit ribosomal RNA", at positions 524 to 757 of the family's 1533-position model. The record is from RNAcentral.
UACGAAGGGGGCUAGCGUUGCUCGGAAUCACUGGGCGUAAAGGGUGCGUAGGCGGGUCUUUAAGUCAGGGGUGAAAUCCUGGAGCUCAACUCCAGAACUGCCUUUGAUACUGAAGAUCUUGAGUUCGGGAGAGGUGAGUGGAACUGCGAGUGUAGAGGUGAAAUUCGUAGAUAUUCGCAAGAACACCAGUGGCGAAGGCGGCUCACUGGCCCGAUACUGACGCUGAGGCAGAAG